GGGACGCCGGCGCGGGGCAGGGUCGGUGGCGAGCGCCUGGGCCGCCGGGCGCGGCGGCAGAGAGCGGCGCGGGGCGGGGGCGGCGCCGGCAGGAGGCCGGAGCAGUGCGCACGGCUGCUCAGGCCCGGUGUUUGCAAAACACGCAUGAUUCCUCAUGCCCAUGUGAAGUUGCUCUGCUUUCACCGGAGUUCCUGCUUUCGAGGCGUUUUCUCCUUUCUCUGGCGAGACAAGCCAGGAGGCAGGGCAGCAUCUCCUUACGUCCCGCUUCGGUAGGGCCUCUCGCAGGGGAAGGCAAAAAGUAGCACUCCCCCCCCCCCCCCAGCGUUGUUUCACAGGGAAGGGGCCUUGGGCUCUGAUGUUGUUAAUGCUCUGAAAAAAAUGAGAUAGUUUGAAAAACUACAGUGUUCCCAGGGAAAGCUUGAAGGAAUUUGGGGAGAGAAGUACAGUGGAAGGAGGUACGGCAGGACCGAGUAGAGACUGAGGCAGCCAGGGUCCCACAUCCUGGGGGGCCCGAGGUGAUAGGAAGUUUCUGGCCCAUCGUGGUAGUGGGAAACAGAUAGCUCAGGUUUCUCAGUCGUUGCCUCAUGUUUGGCCUCGAAGGCUGGAGAAAUGACAAGAGAUCUGGGGAAUCAGGGAGUGGGUAAAGUAGGCUGUUUAUGGUGUUUUGAAGAACUGAAGCAAAGGUUUACAGGUGGCAGGACUUGCGUUAUGUUGGCUGAUGAGUUUUCCGUCGAGGAAAGGAGUGAGAAAGUUUGGAAUUGAGGGUCAGAAAGUUGACGGUAUUCACACUUGUGGAAUCAGGAAGGUUCAACUGAUCAGGCAAAAGGCAUAGUGCUUAGGGAUUUCAGCCAAUUGGAUAUGGAAACCUGAAGAUUUAUAAUUGAUGUUACAAUUUCAGUUGCUGGAAACAGCAACUUAAGUAACUUGGUAGCAUUCACAAAGAUAAUUUAAACUGGAGUGCUUUUAGUGUUGAGAGAUUUUCAAAAUAGAGCUGAGAGGCAUAAGGUUUUGAGUUUUAGCCAAAGUUUGAAUAGUGGUGGAACAGGAUUUCUAAAUAAAAGCCAGGAGAAAUGAACUACAUAAAAAUGUAGCUGGUAAGAAGCCAGCAGUGAGUAUUACCUUGUUGGCGAGGGCGGGGGAGAGGAGGGGUGAGGAAAGAGUAGUUAAUGCCUUCAGCACACGGUAAUUGUACAUAGCAACAAUUGAGAUGGAAAUAAUUGGCAGCAUAAGGGGGGAGUGCUUCUGCUGGGCUAAAACGAGAAACAAUUCUGUCUGUUGUUAACUGGACUGAGAGAUCUGAGUCACACAAGUAUACAUCAUGUUCCUGCUGUAACUGAUGCACUCCAACAUGAGAAGAGAGGGGAAAAGAAACAAACAAAUUCCUUUUCACCUUGAAAUAAGCCUUGCCCUCAGCAGACAGAAACAUCAGGUUGGGAAGAUCAUUCUCUCCUCUCAAAGCUGAAAAGUAGAAGCCUCAAUGUUCAGGUUUAGCAGGAAAUUCUACUCUCAGACACGUACAGUUCUACAAAUCUCAUUAAACUCCUGUCUUCCAUCAUCAAACCAAGCAGGUGUCAAUUCCAGCAAGAGGAUACAGUGAGCACAUAUUUCACACUGCAUCAUGCAUUGUCAUUGGUGCAGCCUGUUUCAAGAAGAGAGCUCUGAAAUGGAGAAACACUGCAGCAACUUUCUCUUCUCUUCCAGAAUUAGUCCUUCCAUAUUAACAUGUUGUCUCAGAGCAAAAAAUACUAUACUGCUGAGGAAGUUGCAAGUAAUACAGAGGAAAAGCUUUUCUCAUACAGAGCCACAUAGUUUGGAAUACAGCUUGAUCAUACUGCCUACUUAAUGGAGGAAAUGUCACUGGCACACUUGGGAAAGAUUCUGAGGAGAAAAAGUGGAUAAAGAUGGAAAAGGAAGGAAAAAAAAAGAUGCUGAAGGUAGUAUCUUAUAACUGAAAUAUGCUGGUAGCAAGCAUGGUAGACUUGGGCUCCUCCACACACAUAACAACAACAAACAAAAAAUUAUGUGCUAUAUUGAGUGUUUUCAGGUGCCUGACUUUUAAAAGAGAUGCACUUUUGUCAAGAAUGGUGACCACGAAGUACCAAGAAGCAGCAAAAGCAGAGCUGUUCCCCAAUGGAAGGCAAAUCAGGAGCUGAGGAUGGCCACAACACAACCUGGUGGUGUCCUCACCGGCAGGGCACAGCCUCACUGCAGCCAGAUGAGCAGGCCUUAUCAGCAGUCCAGCAAUCAUCAGGUAAAAGCAAGGCAACAAGCCAGGUCCAAGGUCAAGCCAAAAAAACAGUCCAGGAAUAGGGCAGAGAGCAGUAGGUACACCUACAGCAUAGAUCACACAAAGGCUGAAGACACAGGCCUGAGGUUAAAUGGAGCUCCAGGGCCAUGGACAGGAGGUGUGGAUAGAGGCCCCAGGUGAGGCUGGUCAGGGCCGCUAAGGCCUAUUAGUGCACGUGACCCUGACAUUGAGCUUUUCAAAGUAUCAAGCCCAAACAAAGCUCUUGCAAGACAUAACUUGGCAGGCCGACCUCUGCAGUGAAUGCGUUAGUGCAGAGUAUAAUCACCAGAUUAAGAUUAUACUGAUUAGUCAUAUUUAAGGUACACCAAAUUAAAAGUUCUCUGAUCAUUUCAGAUGAUCUUGAACAGGCAUUAGUCUCUUGUAGAAAUGACAUGGCUGACUCUUGUGAUGAAAAAUAGGUUUGUGAUCUUUUUAAUUUGUUUUAUUUGGCAUAAUGCAUACAUCUCAAUGUGCAAGAGCAGGACAAGUAAGCAGAACACUGUUUUCGUAAGCCUUGACUAAAUGCCAAAGGCCAGCAUUUUCCUUUUAUUGCACAUUGCUAAUAGGGGAAGAUCUCGUUAAAAUGUUCUCAUUCUAACAUGCAGCCACAGGACUGAGCAUUUUAUACUCCAGAAGGUCUGAAUAAAUGUCUGCCUCCACCCUUUAAAUCACAUGGAAAAUUGUAUCCUCGUGAUUCCUGACAGUUCUAAUUUUCUACUAACCCAAAGAGAAAAAAAUAAAUAAUCAAACAAUGGGCAAUAAAUAACUUUAAAUCUUGAUAGAGAUUGAAUGCCUUUAACUGUUUUACUUUACCUCUUUCUGUUUUUUCAUAGAAUUACACAAAGCCUAUGUAAGAAAGAGGAAAGUUUUCUUGAUUUUUUUUUUUCUGAAGAGUGUGAAAGUUACUAUGCUAAAGUCUGUAACUUUUAAUCAUGUGUAACAGGAGCUUGAAAUCAAUUGGACUACAUGUAUGUGUAAGGGUAUGCCUACAGGGUGUUCCUUAUUGUGUGUAUGUUGAGCCUUUGGAUGACAAGAGAAGUGUUAAAUGGACUUUGAGACAGCACUAUAAAUGUAUUCUGUCUACAUUAUACUAUGUAACAGCAACGACAGAAUUCAAUCCUGGAACAAUUAGUAUCUCAGUAUAUUAAAGAAAAAUCAUUAUUUAUUUUAUAUAGUAUGUUUGCUUUUGUAUGACAAUUCCCUGCUGCUGAAGCAGGCAGAAAUGCAAGAAUAAUUCAAACUCUUUUUUCCUCUCCCAAGGAACAAGCUAUUUUAUAAGUAAAUAGCUGUGCUUUUUUUUUACAGUUUUGGGGAUAUAACCAAUUAGAAUCUGUGUACUCCUGUGAAAAUGUUUCACAGUGCAUAGGCAAUAAUGUGUUAAUGUUAGAGAAUGCCCACUAAUUAUGUCUAUUGAUUUUCCUUCUUUAAAAGUCAGUAUCUAGCUUAUUUUUAGGUGUUUCAGUCCUUCCAUAACACUUUUCCUAUUGAAAAAAAUUGAUCCAAAAGCGUACUCUAGAUCACAGGUAAAUCUUUCUGUGGCAGGUACACAUGCAUCUUUAGACUGUACCAGCAUCAAUUUAGCUGUGAUCAAAGAAAGAAGUUUACACUUAAAUCUCACCUUGGCUGGUAAGUAAUUGGUAAUUCCAGAGCCCUGCUGAUCUAAAAGUUGUGUUCUCUAGAAGA
Dromaius novaehollandiae (emu) is the source of this 3970-nucleotide long non-coding RNA. RefSeq lists it as uncharacterized. The record is from RefSeq and is a predicted model, not a curated record. Lineage: Eukaryota; Metazoa; Chordata; Aves; Casuariiformes; Dromaiidae. The transcript has 4 exons.